UUUCCGUAGGUGAACCUGCGGAAGGAUCAUUAAUGAGUUGUCAUGGGGUUCGAUGCUGGCAGCCAGUUUUUGGAUGCAUGUGCUUGCCCUAACAAUCAUCUUCUUCCAAACACCUGUGCACAUUUUUGAGGGAGUCUUGAGUUGGUUGCCGCUUUUGGGUGAUUUUCUCACAUUCCCUUAAAUCAUUAUACGCUAUUAACAAUGUUGAACGUGCUCUGUGCCGCAAGGCCAUUAAUAUAAUACAACUUUUAACAACGGAUCUCUUGGCUCUCGCAUUGAUGAAGAACGCAGC
This 292-nucleotide unclassified non-coding RNA is filed under the name plant metagenome. Its description in RNAcentral is "partial contains small subunit ribosomal RNA, internal transcribed spacer 1, and 5.8S ribosomal RNA". The stretch from base 244 to 292 matches the Rfam family "5.8S ribosomal RNA", at positions 1 to 49 of the family's 154-position model. The record is from RNAcentral.